CCUGCACUGGUGGGGUCCCUUGGCCUGGCCUGCACCCUCUCACAAUACAGGACCCCUCAGGGGAUGUCUGCAGGCCAGGCCAAGGGACCCCACUGGUGCAUG
Molecule: non-coding RNA, 102 nt
Organism: Myotis lucifugus (little brown bat)
Lineage: Eukaryota; Metazoa; Chordata; Mammalia; Chiroptera; Vespertilionidae
Source: Rfam